CAGCAUGAACUUAGCUUGCUGAGUUUGAUGGCGACCGGCGCACGGGUGAGUAACGCGUAUGCAACCUGCCCGAUACCGGGGUAUAGCCCAUGGAAACGUGGAUUAACACCCCAUAGUACUUUUAUCCUGCAUGGGAUGUGAGUUAAAUGUUCAAGGUAUCGGAUGGGCAUGCGUCCUAUUAGUUAGUUGGCGGGGUAACAGCCCACCAAGACGAUGAUAGGUAGGGGUUCUGAGAGGAAGGUCCCCACAUUGGAACUGAGACACGGUCCAAACUCC
This 276-nucleotide ribosomal RNA is filed under the name uncultured Bacteroidota bacterium. Its description in RNAcentral is "uncultured Bacteroidetes bacterium partial 16S ribosomal RNA". It matches the Rfam family "Bacterial small subunit ribosomal RNA", at positions 68 to 339 of the family's 1533-position model. Lineage: Bacteria; Pseudomonadati; Bacteroidota. The record is from RNAcentral.